UACGUAGGUGGCAAGCGUUGUUCGGAAUUACUGGGCGUAAAGCGUGCGUAGGUGGUGAGUUAAGUCUGUCGUGAAAGCCCCGGGCUCAACCUGGGAAUGGCGAUGGAUACUGGCUCGCUAGAGUGCGGUAGAGGAGAGUGGAAUUCCCGGUGUAGCAGUGAAAUGCGUAGAGAUCGGGAGGAACAUCAGUGGCGAAGGCGGCGUCCUGGCCUGCGACUGACGCUGUGGCGCGAAAGCUAGGGGAGCGAACGGG
RNAcentral lists this ribosomal RNA (253 nucleotides) under uncultured bacterium. Its description in RNAcentral is "partial 16S ribosomal RNA". It matches the Rfam family "Bacterial small subunit ribosomal RNA", at positions 524 to 776 of the family's 1533-position model. The record is from RNAcentral.